CAGCUCCUCUGCUCCGUCUUCGUAUAGCCGUAGAUGUCGAGAAGGCCACCUACCAGAAUGCUGCAGCAGCGCUAGGAUAUAUACACGGCUCGUGGCAUGUGCAAAAAGCAAAGAUAUACGAGCGGUGUGCUAGCUAGGCUUCUGCACCGUCCGAUCGGGAUCGCACGCGUGGGGUAUGUCGGCGAGCGGACUGACGUGGAGUGGAUCAGUGGAACACGCGCGCUCCUUUGAAUUGAUAAUCUGUUUAACACCGCAAGCGCCAAAAAUCGUGUCUGCCAGUUGCGACAUUUUGCAAUAGACUCCCUGCUGUUGCUGUACUGCACGACACCAACUUUUGCCCUCAAUUCGAUCGCAUCGGUCGCUGCCAUGCCAUUUGACCAUUGCCAUACAAUCUCUUCUACACCAAGGAUGCAUGCUGACCAAAAAACAGAAAAACAAAAAUCUCAAGGAUGCUACGG
Molecule: long non-coding RNA, 458 nt
Filed under: Brachypodium distachyon (stiff brome)
Lineage: Eukaryota; Viridiplantae; Streptophyta; Magnoliopsida; Poales; Poaceae
Description: long non-coding RNA (BDIS_LNC003091)
Source: RNAcentral